This 253-nucleotide ribosomal RNA is filed under the name uncultured bacterium. Its description in RNAcentral is "partial 16S ribosomal RNA". It matches the Rfam family "Bacterial small subunit ribosomal RNA", at positions 524 to 776 of the family's 1533-position model. The record is from RNAcentral.
UACGGAGGGUGCGAGCGUUGUCCGGAAUCAUUGGGCGUAAAGGGCGCGUAGGUGGCCCCUCAAGCGGGCGGUGAAAGUCGGGGGCUCAACCCCCGAUCGGCCGUGCGAACUGGGGGGCUGGAGCACUGUAGAGGCAGGCGGAAUUCCGGGUGUAGCGGUGAAAUGCGCAGAUAUCAGGAGGAACACCGGUGGCGAAGGCGGGUCUCUGGGCCGAUACUGACGCUGAGGAGCGAAAGCGUGGGGAGCGAACAGG